ACUCCCCAGAGCUCUGAGAAGUGUUUGCUGUAUCUUCAGCUGCCCAUUCCGUGAGCUUUGUAACAACAGAGCAAACACACCAGAGGCAUGCCUUCUAUAUUAGCUCUGCUAAAGCACAAAGCUAGCCACUUGUGUGCAUCCCCACCACCGUUUGCAUCUGGGAAUUCCUCCACAGGUUUGUUUUCAAUGCUUAAAGUUUGUUUUACAAAGCCACAGAGAAACCCUGUCUCGAAAAACCAAAAAACAAAAAAAUAAAAAAUAAAGUUUGUUUUAAAGGUUGUAGACUCUUGGAGGUAGGGUCUGCCUGAGCCAAUCAGGUCACUGAAUGCUGGGGAGUUUUGAAGGUUAUACAUUACUCCUACUUCCAGCCUAGCUCACUCUACUUCCUGAUCUGUCACUGUGUGAGCAACUGUGGCCUCAUGUUCCCACUGCCAUGCCUUCUCUACCUGCUGGACCAAGUGAGACAGAAUAUUUGUCCCUUAAGCAGUGACAUGAAAGUCAGUGACAUAUCCAGUGAUGCCUGUCUCUGCAGGGGUUCAAGUUUUCCUUUGGGUGAUAUUGAUGGAGCUGGGCAGAGAACCAGGGGUCCAGGGGUCUUCUGUGUUGCAAGGGUCUGCAGGCAGUACCUGGGAAAUAGUCAGAGGUGGUCCCCACCGCUCCUAUUUCCUCCCAGUCUGUUUUGUUUUCUUCAUUUUUGUCAGGCCCAGCUCUCAGGAAGGGCCUCUGUGGUGGUCCCAGACAAGCUGCCCCAGAUCAUUGCAGUCUUGCCUGAAUUCUGAGACCUCAUUUUCUGGCUGCCUCCUUGGACUUUCAAAUAAAACCCUGUUUCAAAUAAGUUAAUCAUUCUUAGAUGUUGAUUCCUUGUUUAGAAGGCAAAUUCCUUACACCUGAGGAGAUUCUUCAGCCUUCCCACGGGAGCUGUUGGUGACUGGCAUUUGGGUCACAAGGAUAGGUUGUUGGUGCCAAGGCUUGAUGAGGUAGGUGAGCUGACAUGGGCAUAACCCGAGUUGUGGGGGUUUGGAUGAGAGACUCGGGAUCCACUUACCACACUUGUGCUAUGUGAAGAAAGCAGCUCUCAACUGGGUCAUGCUGCUCAAUGAUUGGCAAAAGCCGAGCUUACUGGGCUUGGUCCCAUCUGGCUCCCAGCAGGAGGGUGUGCACAUAACAGUUUGGCCAUGUUCCUCACCCUAAGAUUUCUUUCUACCCAGAGGAUGUUGCAGACAUGGUGACUGAGGUGGCUAUCCUAGGGAAGACUUGUGUGAUUUGCUAGGUUGCUUAGUGAUGUCACAAUGUCUCCCCGCAUGGGUGAUGUUGGCUCUUACUUCCUUUCUGCAGUGUUGGGUCCUACUUGACAUUUGGUACUGACAUUUGUUGAGCAUUGGCUACAGGCUCAUUUCACUGUUCCUGGUACUCUUCAGCAGUUCUGGGAAGUUAUUGUCUUCCUUUUAUGGCUGUCUCCAACAGGCUGUAGCAGGAUCCACCAGGGCUGGGCUGCAGGUGAGAAGUGAGUGGCCUCGAAGCUCUCCUGUUGAAGAUCAACACCUGACCAGGCCACAAGAGCCUCUUGUACCAGCAGGAUUGGCCUCACUGGUCCGGAGACGACCUGGACCAGAGUCCCCAAGGCUGGAUCAGGCUGGAUCAUCAGCUAAACACUGAACUGAACUCCUGGAACCCAG
Molecule: long non-coding RNA, 1676 nt
Organism: Mesocricetus auratus (golden hamster)
Lineage: Eukaryota; Metazoa; Chordata; Mammalia; Rodentia; Cricetidae
Exons: 3
Source: RefSeq, a predicted model, not a curated record